CUUUAGGUCAAUAACCGAAGUCCGGAUCACUGCUGGGGUUAAAAGGGAAGCCGGUGCAAGUCCGGCACGGUCCCGCCACUGUAACACGGGUGGAAUCCAACGAGCCAUUGUGCGCCGAAAGCGUGCGAGAAGGCGGAUUCCGAUUCAUCUGAUCCAUCAUCGUAUAGCGUGCGAGCAAUCCGCGCAUCAACGGGGGUGCCGAUCGGCCCGUGAGUCAGGAGACCUGCCUCGCAGACCCGUUGCCG
This 245-nucleotide non-coding RNA is filed under the name Saccharibacillus sacchari. Lineage: Bacteria; Bacillati; Bacillota; Bacilli; Caryophanales; Paenibacillaceae. RNAcentral also lists the same sequence under 1 other name. The record is from RNAcentral.